Nanorana parkeri is the source of this 92-nucleotide long non-coding RNA. RefSeq lists it as uncharacterized. The transcript has 3 exons. The record is from RefSeq and is a predicted model, not a curated record. NCBI's taxonomy places the organism in Eukaryota, Metazoa, Chordata, Amphibia, Anura, Dicroglossidae.
AGAAAAAGGAAGGUUUCAGGCGUCACGCAGGAGGAUGGUGAACUUCAUGCAGCGGAAGGGGAGGUGGGUGAGAUCGCCGUCCAUACAUCCGA